ACCGUAUAGGGGAGCCGGAGGGAAACCGAGUCUUAAUUGGGCGUUAAGUUGCAGGGUAUAGACCCGAAACCCGGUGAUCUAGCCAUGGGCAGGUUGAAGGUUGGGUAACACUAACUGGAGGACCGAACCGACUAAUGUUGAAAAAUUAGCGGAUGACCUGUGGCUGGGGGUGAAAGGCCAAUCAAACCGGGAGAUAGCUGGUUCUCCCCGAAAGCUAUUUAGGUAGCGCCUCGUGAAUUCAUCUCCGGGGGUAGAGCACUGUUUCGGCUAGGGGGCCAUCCCGGCUUACCAACCCGAUGCAAACUGCGAAUACCGGAGAAUGUUAUCACGGGAGACACACGGCGGGUGCUAACGUCCGUCGUGAAGAGGGAAACAACCCAGACCGCCAGCUAAGGUCCCAAAGUCAUGGUUAAGUGGGAAACGAUGUGGGAAGGCCCAGACAGCCAGGAUGUUGGCUUAGAAGCAGCCAUCAUUUAAAGAAAGCGUAAUAGCUCACUGGUCGAGUCGGCCUGCGCGGAAGAUGUAACGGGGCUAAACCAUGCACCGAAGCUGCGGCAGCGAACGUAUCACCCAAGACAACUUUACGGAGUUGACGAUUGACGGAGCGAAGCGACGUCAAAGCGUUCAUUAAAGUCGAGUUGGCUUAGGGAUACGUUCGUUGGGUAGGGGAGCGUUCUGUAAGCCUGUGAAGGUGUGUCGUGAGGCAUGCUGGAGGUAUCAGAAGUGCGAAUGCUGACAUAAGUAACGAUAAAGCGGGUGAAAAGCCCGCUCGCCGGAAGACCAAGGGUUCCUGUCCAACGUUAAUCGGGGCAGGGUGAGUCGACCCCUAAGGCGAGGCCGAAAGGCGUAGUCGAUGGGAAACGGGUUAAUAUUCCCGUACUUGGUGUUACUGCGAAGGGGGGACGGAGAAGGCUAUGUUGGCCGGGCGACGGUUGUCCCGGUUUAAGCGUGUAGGUGUGUGUUCCAGGUAAAUCCGGUUCACUUUAACACUGAGGCGUGACGACGAGGCACUACGGUGCUGAAGCAACAAAUGCCCUGCUUCCAGGAAAAGCCUCUAAGCAUCAGGUAACAUCAAAUCGUACCCCAAACCGACACAGGUGGUCAGGUAGAGAAUACCAAGGCGCUUGAGAGAACUCGGGUGAAGGAACUAGGCAAAAUGGUGCCGUAACUUCGGGAGAAGGCACGCUGACACGUAGGUGAAGUGAUUUACUCAUGGAGCUGAAGUCAGUCGAAGAUACCAGCUGGCUGCAACUGUUUAUUAAAAACACAGCACUGUGCAAACACGAAAGUGGACGUAUACGGUGUGACGCCUGCCCGGUGCCGGAAGGUUAAUUGAUGGGGUCAGCGCAAGCGAAGCUCCUGAUCGAAGCCCCGGUAAACGGCGGCCGUAACUAUAACGGUCCUAAGGUAGCGAAAUUCCUUGUCGGGUAAGUUCCGACCUGCACGAAUGGCGUAAUGAUGGCCAGGCUGUCUCCACCCGAGACUCAGUGAAAUUGAACUCGCUGUGAAGAUGCAGUGUACCCGCGGCAAGACGGAAAGACCCCGUGAACCUUUACUAUAGCUUGACACUGAACAUUGAGCCUUGAUGUGUAGGAUAGGUGGGAG
This 1605-nucleotide ribosomal RNA is filed under the name Salmonella enterica subsp. enterica serovar Typhimurium. RNAcentral describes it as "partial 23S ribosomal RNA". It matches the Rfam family "Bacterial large subunit ribosomal RNA", at positions 649 to 2153 of the family's 2925-position model. The record is from RNAcentral. Lineage: Bacteria; Pseudomonadati; Pseudomonadota; Gammaproteobacteria; Enterobacterales; Enterobacteriaceae.